This 119-nucleotide ribosomal RNA is filed under the name Pteropus alecto (black flying fox). Lineage: Eukaryota; Metazoa; Chordata; Mammalia; Chiroptera; Pteropodidae. The record is from RNAcentral. RNAcentral also lists the same sequence under 1 other name.
GUCUACGGCCAUGCUACCCUGAACAUGCCCGAUCCCAUCUGAUCUCAGAAGCUAAGCAGGGUUGGGCCUGGUUAGUACUUGGAUGGGAGACCACCUAGGAAGACCAGGUGCUGUAGGUG